GAUGAACGCUGGCGGCGUGCCUAAUACAUGCAAGUCGAGCGAACGGACGAGAAGCUUGCUUCUCUGAUGUUAGCGGCGGACGGGUGAGUAACACGUGGAUAACCUACCUAUAAGACUGGGAUAACUUCGGGAAACCGUAGCUAAUACCGGAUAAUAUUUUGAACCGCAUGGUUCAAAAGUGAAAGACGGUCUUGCUGUCACUUAUAGAUGGAUCCGCGCUGCAUUAGCUAGUUGGUAAGGUAACGGCUUACCAAGGCAACGAUGCAUAGCCGACCUGAGAGGGUGAUCGGCCACACUGGAACGUGGACACGGUCCAGACUCCUACGGGAGGCAGCAGUAGGGAAUCUUCCGCAAUGGGCGAAAGCCUUACGGAGCAACGCCGCGUGAGUGAUGAAGGUCUUCGGAGCGUAAAACUCUGUUAUUAGGGAAGAACAUAUGUGUAAGGAACUGUGCACAUCUUGACGGUACCUAAUCAGAAAGCCACGGCUAACUACGUG
Molecule: ribosomal RNA, 497 nt
Filed under: uncultured bacterium
Lineage: Bacteria
Description: partial 16S ribosomal RNA
Rfam family: Bacterial small subunit ribosomal RNA
Source: RNAcentral